GACGAACGCUGGCGGCGUGCUUAACACGUGCAAGUCGAACGGAAAGGCCCUGCUUUUGUGGGGUGCUCGAGUGGCGAACGGGUGAGUAACACGUGAGUAACCUGCCCUUGACUUUGGGAUAACUUCAGGAAACUGGGGCUAAUACCGGAUAGGAGCUCCUGCUGCAUGGUGGGGGUUGGAAAGUUUCGGCGGUUGGGGAUGGACUCGCGGCUUAUCAGCUUGUUGGUGGGGUGGUGGCUUACCAAGGCUUUGACGGGUAGCCGGCCUGAGAGGGUGACCGGCCACAUUGGGACUGAGAUACGGCCCAGACUCCUACGGGAGGCAGCAGUGGGGAAUAUUGCACAAUGGGCGGAAGCCUGAUGCAGCAACGCCGCGUGCGGGAUGACGGCCUUCGGGUUGUAAACCGCUUUCGCCUGUGACGAAGUGUGAGUGACGGUAAUGGGUAAAGAAGCACCGGCUAACUACGUG
This 468-nucleotide ribosomal RNA is filed under the name uncultured bacterium. RNAcentral describes it as "partial 16S ribosomal RNA". It matches the Rfam family "Bacterial small subunit ribosomal RNA", at positions 28 to 507 of the family's 1533-position model. The record is from RNAcentral.